CCUACGGGAGGCUGCAGUGGGGAAUAUUGGACAAUGGGGGGAACCCUGAUCCAGCCAUGCCGCGUGUGUGAAGAAGGCCCUCGGGUUGUAAAGCACUUUCAGUGAGGAAGAACGCCUGGUGGUUAAUACCCAUCAGCAAAGACAUCACUCACAGAAGAAGCACCGUCUAACUCCGUGCCAGCAGCCGCGGUAAUACGGAGGGUGCGAGCGUUAAUCGGAAUUACUGGGCGUAAAGCGCGCGUAGGUGGCUUGAUAAGCCGGUUGUGAAAGCCCCGGGCUCAACCUGGGAACGGCAUCCGGAACUGUCAAGCUAGAGUGCGGGAGAGGAAGGUAGAAUUCCCGGUGUAGCGGUGAAAUGCGUAGAGAUCGGGAGGAAUACCAGUGGCGAAGGCGGCCUUCUGGACUGACACUGACACUGAGGUGCGAAAGCGUGGGUAGCAAACAGGAUUAGAUACCCCUGUAGUA
RNAcentral lists this ribosomal RNA (465 nucleotides) under Vreelandella stevensii. Its description in RNAcentral is "partial 16S ribosomal RNA". It matches the Rfam family "Bacterial small subunit ribosomal RNA", at positions 338 to 795 of the family's 1533-position model. Lineage: Bacteria; Pseudomonadati; Pseudomonadota; Gammaproteobacteria; Oceanospirillales; Halomonadaceae. The record is from RNAcentral.